Molecule: long non-coding RNA, 330 nt
Filed under: Mytilus galloprovincialis (Mediterranean mussel)
Lineage: Eukaryota; Metazoa; Mollusca; Bivalvia; Mytilida; Mytilidae
Source: RNAcentral
CAGUCUUACCUUCUACUAGUGGCAUUAGUUCAGCGAAAGACGAUGUCAGUAUUUUCACGAGAACACCAUCAUCACCGCACACAGAAGAAUCAGAAGAAUCACUUGUAGAGAUAGAAAGGGAAAGAUUGGGAGUAGAAAAAGACCGGUUAAAAAUUGAACAAGAAAGACUAGCAACCGAGAAACAGAGGCUGGAGAUAGAGAGAAAAUCACUUCUAAUCAAAGAACAAAAAUACCAAUUAUAUUUGACAAAGUUGAACUUAAGCUUGCAGCAAAUGGGUAUUUCCGUCAAUAGCUUAAAUGUACCAACUUCUUCUGACACUUCGUCCACAC